UGGGCCUUAGGGGAGAGCAUCCAACCAAGACAUGUGUCUUAAGUUCUAAGCAGAGUCCUCACUGCGGCCUCUGCCAGCAGAACCCCACUGGCCAGGCGUGAGCUGUCCUCUGAAAUGCCCAGAGGCCAAAAUGUUCUUUGGAGGAUCUUAUUCAGCUGAACUGCAAUGCUGUCUCCACCUCCCUAGCUGCUGGGAUUAUACAGGCGUGGGCCACCACAUCUGGCUUCAAUGUUGUCAGCCCUGGGUGGCGUCAGGGAUGCCAGGAACAGGAGAACCAGAAGAGGCUGUUGACAUGCUCAGGGAGAGAGCAAGAACUGGUUAAAGCCUCAGACACCAGCCUGUCUGACCACAGAGCCUAAGAUGCGUGAAGACAGAGAUUCGAUCAAAUGUGGCUUCCAGCUGUAUCCGCAGGUCUCAAGACUGACACCCUGUGAAUACUAGCGAAAGAAACAGAUACCUGGAUGCCACCACUCUUUGGCUCAGUGACUGUCAGUGUCUCCCGGCUGUAGUCAAGGUAUUAAACCUAGGCUUCUUGCUCUGCCCUGGGAGGGAAGUGACUGUCACUCACAGAACAAGCAGGGACACAUUAUGCAGGUCAAAGGGGAUGCUGCAAACCAGUAUCUUAGAACAACAAGAACACAACAGACUUUUCUUUUUCAAACAGGGAGGCAUAGCUGCCACACUUGUCCGAAGCCCAGGGAACGGUGUCUGUCUUUCUCUCUGGCUUCCUUCUCCGACCCACUCCCUCUCUGAGCCAUCUGCAGUUUCGCCCUUCAACCCAGAGAAGUCCUUUGAGUAGCUGGAGCUAGCUCGUUAUUGUGGCCCCACAUUGAACACUACCUGCCCAAGAGCCCUUCCCUGACCACACAUUCCCACUCAAACCACCUCCAUCUCAAAGUUGUGACUUGUGCCCCACCCCGCCCCCGCCCCCUUGCUCUCAGCUCUGUGUCUGAGAUCCCUUCUUUGGCGCUGGCAGGCAGGAUGCAUUGAAUUCCCCCAGGCACCUGUCAGCUUCUAGGGAGGUGUUUCUGAGGGUAAACUGACUCUAUCUGGGGAGGUACAGGGAGCAGGGAAGGAAAGACGACUGACUGUGCCUACGAAGUCACCCCAGAAAUCAGAAUUACUUUCUCCUCAGUCCCCCAGUUGUUUCAUCUGAGAGGACUCUGGGGGCCGAGUCUGAAUAAAGAUUACAAACCACCUUCCCCACCCAUCUCCAGCCUGGAAUUCCCAACAGACAGGCAGGGUUCGCACAGACAAAAGGCAUCACUACAUGCAUUUAUGAUUUGCCUAAUUAUCUCUGUCCUCCCCGAUACUACAGCUCCAUAAACUUGUCACAGUUGUGUUUGUCCUUUGGCACUAGGUUGCUAUGCGCACACAUGUGGAUGUUUGUUUACAGAAUGUGGCCAGCAGCAGGGCCUUCAUGUGGGCUGACAACACCCCGUUUGGCUGCCCCAGGGGACUGGCCCCCCGCCAGGAUUCCCAGACAGAUUACUGAUCUCAAUUCUCUAUUCCUCCCUGCCCCCCAAGCACUAGGGAUGAAGCCCAAGACCCUGAACAAGCUAGACCAGCACUCUACCACUGAGCCACAUC
This is a long non-coding RNA of Mus musculus (house mouse), 1590 nucleotides long. RefSeq annotates it as predicted gene, 35665. The transcript has 3 exons. The record is from RefSeq and is a predicted model, not a curated record. Lineage: Eukaryota; Metazoa; Chordata; Mammalia; Rodentia; Muridae.